GUUUCCUACGGGGCGCAGCAGUGGGGAAUAUUGCGCAAUGGGGGCAACCCUGACGCAGCAACGCCGCGUGAUUGAAGACGGCCUUCGGGUUGUAAAGAUCUUUAAUCGGGGACGAAUUUUGACGGUACCCGAAGAAUAAGCUCCGGCUAACUACGUGCCAGCAGCCGCGGUAAUACGUAGGGAACAAGCGUUAUCCGGAUUUACUGGGUGUAAAGGGCGUGUAGGCGGGCAUGCAAGCCAGAAGUGAAAUCUGGGGGCUUAACCCCCAAACUGCUUUUGGAACUGCGUGUCUUGAGUGAUGGGAG
RNAcentral lists this ribosomal RNA (305 nucleotides) under uncultured bacterium. RNAcentral's name for it is "bacterial SSU rRNA". It matches the Rfam family "Bacterial small subunit ribosomal RNA", at positions 334 to 655 of the family's 1533-position model. The record is from RNAcentral.